Molecule: ribosomal RNA, 366 nt
Filed under: uncultured Spirochaeta sp.
Lineage: Bacteria; Pseudomonadati; Spirochaetota; Spirochaetia; Spirochaetales; Spirochaetaceae
Description: bacterial SSU rRNA
Rfam family: Bacterial small subunit ribosomal RNA
Source: RNAcentral
UACUUCUUCGGACAAUAUACAAGGUGCUGCAUGGUUGUCGUCAGCUCGUGCUGUGAAGUGUGGGUUAAGUCCCGCAACGAGCGCAACCCCUGCUGCCUGUUGCCACCACGAGAGGUGGGGACGUCAGGCGGGACCGCCGGUGACAAACCGGAGGAAGUGGGGACGACGUCAAGUCAUCAUGGCCCUUAUGUCCUGGGCUACACACGUGCUACAAUGGCCGGUACAGAGCGCAGCGAGGCCGCGAGGCGGAGCGAAUCGCUUAAAGCCGGUCCCAGUACGGAUUGGAGUCUGCAACCCGACUCCAUGAAGUUGGAAUCGCUAGUAAUCGCGCAUCAGCAUGGCGCGGUGAAUACGUUCCCGGGCCUU